CACGUAGGGCGCGAGCGUUGUCCGGAAUUAUUGGGCGUAAAGAGCUCGUAGGCGGUUCGGUAAGUCAGGUGUGAAAUCUCCACGCUCAACGUGGAGGGGCCACCUGAUACUGCCGUGACUCGAGUCCGGUAGGGGAGUGUGGAAUUCCCGGUGUAGCGGUGAAAUGCGCAGAUAUCGGGAGGAACACCAGUGGCGAAGGCGACUACCUGGCCUGUUCUUGACGCUGAGGCGCGAAAGCUAGGGGAGCAAACGGG
This 254-nucleotide ribosomal RNA is filed under the name uncultured bacterium. Its description in RNAcentral is "partial 16S ribosomal RNA". It matches the Rfam family "Bacterial small subunit ribosomal RNA", at positions 524 to 776 of the family's 1533-position model. The record is from RNAcentral.